This 65-nucleotide transfer RNA is filed under the name Ambulyx dohertyi. RNAcentral describes it as "tRNA-Arg". The record is from RNAcentral. Lineage: Eukaryota; Metazoa; Arthropoda; Insecta; Lepidoptera; Sphingidae.
AAAUAAGAAGCAAAAAUUGCAUUUAAUUUCGACUUAAAAAUUAGAGUAAUUAUACUCCUUAUUUA